This is a long non-coding RNA of Hippoglossus stenolepis (Pacific halibut), 915 nucleotides long. RefSeq lists it as uncharacterized. The transcript is spliced from 2 exons. The record is from RefSeq and is a predicted model, not a curated record. Lineage: Eukaryota; Metazoa; Chordata; Actinopteri; Pleuronectiformes; Pleuronectidae.
CCUGUGAAUGGAUAGAAUUGAAUUGUUGAAUAAUGGAAGAAUUGUUGCAUAAUUACCAAUGGUAAUAAAUGUAUAAAAUGUGUUUUAUUCUUUCUCCCAGGCUUGGAGCUCAAGUUGAACUGCACAGUUUUCUGUGGGAGUAAUGUCAAAGAUUGUACAGCUAGCUGGUAUGUUAAUGGAGACCCAGUCAACCAGAUGGCCGGAUACAAUCAAACCACCAAACAAAUCAUGGAGAGGCCUUCAAAGAACACCAUCACCACUGCGAUCCUGACCAUUAAAAAAGUGUCGGCAAAGGAUUUUCAGGCUGAAUUCAAAUGCAGCGGCAGAGGUUUUUACACAGCCAAAUCAGCCACUUUAACGCUGAAGCGGAGAGGUCAGUCUGUCGUCCAAUCAUAAGACUUUAUUCUUGGCUGAUGGAAAUAAUGGGUGAUUUUAAUCCUUGACUAUACUCAUCAUGUAGUUUUACACAUUUAACUUACUUUAUUGAACUCGUGUUUGUUUUCCAGCGUCAAUAACUUCGUUGGUAAGGCAAUCCAAGCAAAGUUGAAAUGCUGGUUUCUGAACCUGGUUGUCGGUCAGAUAUUUGACUUCCGUCCCUGGAUCCUCCCACUAGUCUGUCAGAAAUGAAGAAGCUUCUUGGCUGAGAGUGGAAACGUUUUCCAAAUACCUCCAACGCCAUUUUCUUUUGAUUCAACUUCAAACUCAACUUCUAAACACCAUAUGAGGAUACACAGUUAUUGGCCCAUUCAAGAGAUGCCAUAGUAAUAGUGAAGUCAUUUAAAGUCAAGAAUAGUAUCAGUUUCUCCCUCUUCUCUCUUACAUCCUCUCUUUACAUGUCUUCCUGUCUUCUCUUUUUGCUUUGAACAGUGGUUUCAGUGUAAAUUGAAAUGAUUAAAAUGUGCUAAACUAAAAAAA